ACCAGACUCCUACGGGAGGCAGCAGUGAGGAAUAUUGGUCAAUGGGCGGAAGCCUGAACCAGCCAAGUCGCGUGAGGGAAGAAGGCCCUGCGGGUCGCAGACCUCUUUGGACGGGGAGCAAGGCCGCCGACGUGUCGGCGGAAGGAGAGUACCCGUAGAACAAGCAUCGGCUAACUCCGUGCCAGCAGCCGCGGUAAUACGGAGGAUGCGAGCGUUAUCCGGAUUUAUUGGGUUUAAAGGGUGCGCAGGCGGCCUGUUAAGUCAGCGGUAAAAGCCCGGGGCUCAACCCCGGCGAACCGUUGAAACUGGCGGGCUGGAGUUGGAGAGAAGUACGCGGAAUGCGCGGUGUAGCGGUGAAAUGCUUAGAGAUUAGGAAGAACACCAGUGGCGAAGGCGAUUCUCUGGACUGUAACUGACGCUGAGGCUCGAAAGCGUGGGGAGCAAACAGGAUUAGAUACCCGUGUACG
This 467-nucleotide ribosomal RNA is filed under the name uncultured bacterium. Its description in RNAcentral is "bacterial SSU rRNA". It matches the Rfam family "Bacterial small subunit ribosomal RNA", at positions 330 to 793 of the family's 1533-position model. The record is from RNAcentral.